AGAAUAUUACUCAGAUUUCUUUUUCACUGAUUCACUGAUUUCUUUUUCCCUCAAUACUUAAAUUGUUGCUUUGCUCUUCAUUUUUCUUGAAGUUUCCAUGUUCGACAUAUGGAUAUCUCUGAGUAUCCUCCAUGUACCUGAAAAAACUUAGAAAAAUUUGACCAUACCUAUGUCAAACGCAUACCUAUAUCUAACAUACACCCUAGUCCAAGUAACAUAAAUUUAGUAUGUAAGCAGAUAUUUUUGGCAGUUUGAGUUUUUCUCAGACAGGUUACUUUAAACUCCUUGGUAAUAGUCACGUUAAACUCAUAAUUUGUUUGCUAGAUUCUUCUCUGUGGCCAAUGAGGUCCAAUUUGAAGUCAAAAUUUAUAAUUGACUAUCAAUUAAAGGGUAUCUGUCAAAAUGAUAGAAAAUAAAGAUGGUGGCAGCACUUCUUGGGAUCCAACUAUUACAUUUAUAUUUAUGUUUGAUUGCCAAUUGGGAAAGAUUACAUGCUUAUAAAGAAUGUAAGACUAUACUAUUUUGAUUGUUGAUACAAAGGGUAUAAUAUAUAUACCCGUCUAGUCUGAUCCAAACCUAAAAUUUGACUUAAUCAACCGGAAACCAAUCCCGACCCAAUGUAUUGUGACCAUAAAAAGUCAAUAACAUGAAUUUGUCUAACCUUAACAUGAAUUGAUCGAACCCAAGUUGAUCUGAGCAUGAAACAAUCCAAACCGAAACACCCGAACUUGAAAGUACUCAAACUAGUAAUCUUGAAAUGACUUGAUCCCAAAGUGAUUAGAAUCCAAAAUGAUCUGAAUUUAUAAUGACCCGACUUGAAAAAUCCGAGCCUCAAACCCAAGACCACUUGUAUCCAAAAUUGACCCAAACUUGGAAUUAAUUCAAACCAAAAUGAUCUGAAAUUUUUAAAAUCCAAAUUGAGUAGAUCUGAAAUCAAUUUGACUCACACAAUGGACUGGUCUAGUACAAUAUUUUAACUAGAAAAACUAUUUAUAUCUUCUACUUCUGUUUUCAGUUAUAUUAUUUAUAGUGGUAGAAAUAACUUUUUGGAAGUUCUUGGAAUUUCCCUUAUAGAGUAUUAUAAACUUCUAGUUCAUCGGAAGCCUCUCUGUAUUCAGACACUAGCUUAGCAGUGGAUCAUGUUAUGGUGCUUAUAUGGGUGGGAAUGACAUUAGAGAUCCCUUUGAUCUAAAAAUAUUUUUUCAGCAGGUUUCACUUUUGGAAUGAGUUUUUGCUCAAACAAAUCCAAAUUGUUUGCAUGAAUGGCAUUGACAAAUAUAGCUGGCGAUUGAAAAUGUUCCUGACUAUUCUUCUCUUGUUCGGUUUGGCCAUCCUUGCGGACUCUUACUCUUUGUUACUUGGACUCAUAUGAGUAGCAGAUACGGGAAUAUUCAAUUUUUUGUAGUUCUUUCAUGCAUUUAGAAAGUCUUCGGAGGAUCAUAUCUUCAUUAAAAAAACACUUUCAAAAGAAAUGGAUUUAUGUAUGCUGCACACCGAUACAUACCCGAUUUUCGCAUCCGAGUCUGAGUAACAUAGGUGCUUGAUAUCAUUUUUUUUUUCUGAUGUGCAGUUGCAGCAAGUGCUGCUUCUACUGGAAUUGAUUUGUUUCCGUAAUUGGAAAUAUGAAAAUACGAACCAACAAGUAUAACUUAAAGUAAAUGCUCAAUUCUGAAUUUUGAAUGACAUAGUUGUAAUACCUUUCUGUGUUGGCAGCUUGUUAAAGACUAUCAAGCAUGGGCUUCUGGUGAUACCUCAAGGCAACCUCUUGGAACCGGGGAGAUAUGAAAUCACGCAAGAUAAGAUUUCUUCGAACUCUCUUUGAAAUUGUCGUCUUGUUCAAUUUUGGCAGCAUAAUAUGUUUUGACUGUAAUAUUUAGGCAGUUUAGUGUUCCUCAGCACUGAGGUGCAACAAAUUAAGAAAAUUCAUUAUAUUCAUCCAAUGUCAGUCAUGCAGACUCUAGGAUCAGUAUAUUCCUCCUAUUCUGAUAUGAAAUUCUGGCAACUGUUUUCAGUUUUUUUAUUUGGAUUUUAAGUUGGAUUAAACAAAAUGAUAGAUGGUCUUGUUAUGUCAAACCUGACGAUUUAGGACAUGAUAUGAGGAUAAUUGUUGCAGAUUGUGAGAUUGCCUGGUAUCUCUCUCAUUCACACGAUUAUGAGAAUGCAAUUAUGCUCUUCACACAUAAUUGUUGCAGAUUGCAUGAUCAAGGAUAUGAUGCAGAUGAGGGUGAAGAGGAAAGCUAAAUAGAAUUAACUAAAACUCAUUUUGCACGGGCAAUAAUAUCAAUGUCAUUCGAACUAAGACUCAAUCGGUAGAAUAAAAAAACAUUAAACACAACAAUUAAUAGUAAUAUAUUGAUUGAUUAAAAAAAUUAGAUAGGGAGAAAUUAAAUUAAUACAUUGAAUGAAUUUAAAUUAAAAGUAAUGACAAAUUUAUUGUAUCAAACAUUUUCUACCUUUAUUUUUUUUAAUUUAAAAUGUAAAGUAUUUCAAAAUAGAUUUUCUAAUAAAAUCUUACUUUAUUUUUGUGGAUUAUAACUUUAGAUUCUUAUAUCUAUUAUUGAAAUCAAUUUGCUUUUGUGGAUAAUUGAUUAGGAUUUGAAUAUUUGAUUUUAUUAUUUGUUUUACUUUUAAAUAUUUAAUUUAAUUUUUUAUUUUAUUAAAUUAAAAUAAUAAUGUUCAAAUUUAAUAAAAAUAAUAAACAAAUUUAUGAAUAUAAAUCCAAAUAUUAGAAAUAAUGAUAUGUUUUCAACCCAACAAGGAAUUAAAGAAUUAUUCUCGAUCAAAUAAUAAAUUAGAGAUAAUAAUGUGUUUUUGACUCAAUAGAGAAUUAAAGAACUCUCAUCGACCCAACAAUGAAUAUGAGAGUCAAAUAAAGUAUGCCCAAUACUAAAACAUCAUCUGAUAUAUCUAAUCUUAUGACAUACUAAUUAUAUCUGAAACUCUAUCCGACAUCGUUUAAUAGUAUAUUUCUAUUAUUAAAUAUCAUUAAAGCAUAUUUUAAUACAACUUUCACCAUAAUAUCCAAUCACAACUCAUAUUCAGUUGUGAAAUCAUCAAACAUAAAUUCAUAUUCAUAUAGCAUGAUCACAUAAUUCAACUCAUCAUGAAAUCAAUAUAUCUUACCACAUAUUAUAGUGAAAUUCACAUAUACUUACUUUAUGAUUUAGGUUCUUUUUUUCUCAAAAUUGAUCCAAACAAAUUAAAUAAUUACAAAAAUAACUUUGGGAGCAACAUCAUACACGAAAAUUAAUGCAAUUAAGCUUAGAAAAUCUGAAAAAAGAAAGCAUUAAUUUUUUUUCAAUACACCACUUAAACGUAAAUAAAUUGCAUUAAUUACGUUAAUUAUUACUUUUUUUGAAUCCUGAAAUUUGUUUUUAUCUGUCCCUCCCCUUCUCUCAUUUUUCAUUUUCGUGUCAGAAAAGAAUUUACCAGGAAAAGUUUUCAAUAAUCCUCUCCCUCUCUUGCCUAGAAAAUCUGGAACGAAAAAGCAUUAAUUUCUUUCAAUACUCUUGCAAAUAAUUUUUCCAAGUAUAUAUUUCUUUUCCAUUUUGUUUUCUUUUGCUCCUUUUUACUACAUCCUACUAUUCAGUUUUUAGCUUGGAUUUUUUACUUGUGAUUUUGGUUUUUAUAGUGUUUUUUUUUCUCUUUCACUAUAUUUAAGAAUUGCUUGCUUUUUAUAACUAUAAAAAAUAAUUGUUUUUAAAAACGGUCACCAGUGUCGUCUGACACCCUAGCAACACAAAAAAUAAAUAAAGCAAAUCUUCAAAACCUGACAACAGUGUUGCCUGAUACCGCGGUGGGAUCAAAUUUUUAAAAAAAAUUGGUGCCGCCUAACACAGAGAUGACACCAAAAUAAAAAAAAAUUCCACCGUGAAUACCUGUGAGAAAUACAAGUAUUUUGAAAAAUACAUAUAGUGGCAACACCCAAAUUUUUUAUUUAUAAAAACCAAUGAUUGACUAAUGAUGAAGAGUGAUGCCGCCGAUGUAUCUGGUGGCAUCGACAAGCACUAUAGAUUUCAUGUCAUUCCUGUACAUGAUUUUGCUCCUAAGUCAUUUUUAUAAUUAUUUAAUUUGUUAGGUUAAUUUUGAUAAUUAUUUAAUUUGUUAGGUUAAUUUUGAAAAAAAGCUGAUAACUUACCUUUCAUGUUCAUAACCAACAACGCAUAAGCUCAUGUUCAUGUCACCAUUUACCUCUAAUACAUAUACAUAUACAUAUAAACUCAAUUACUUGAUAAACCAUGUAAUGAAAAUGAAUUAUGUAAGUACAAAUCGAAGUUGUUAGUCGUUGAUCACUUUCGUCUUUCCUUUCUCCUUCAAAAUCUCAGUGUCAUCUUUAAUUAUAUACAAUAAUAUGUUUACGAAAACAUUGUUAGUUUUGUAGUCAAACAUAAAAGCCAUCAAAAUCAAAACAUGAAUGAAUAUUUUUUUACUUAUGCCCCUUAAAACUCUAAUAUCCAAAAUUCCCAUAUUUUAUCACUCUCUCAUUCGAUUUUAAAUCCAACUUUAUAACUAUGCUUUAGGGACCUCAAACUAUCUAUAAACACUAUUUUUCUUCAAACUUGUCAUCAUAUUUGUCUCUAUCUUUAAGCACCCAUCCAUGGUUUCUCGAUCAAUUCAUGACAAAUUUCAAUUCUAACACAUGGUCACUUAUAUCAACUUACUUAAAGCUAAGGAUUCAAAAAAAAAAAAAAAUCAAAGGAAAGUAUCUCUUUACCUUAUGGUUUGAUGCACCACAAUGGGAGAGAAUCUUAAGGAUUUUUUCUUCCUUUUUUUUCUUUCAUUGUACAGUGGAGAAAGGAUGAAGAUGAACCUUGCUUCAUCC
RNAcentral lists this long non-coding RNA (4822 nucleotides) under Gossypium barbadense (sea-island cotton). RNAcentral describes it as "long non-coding RNA (GBAR_LNC004788)". The record is from RNAcentral. Lineage: Eukaryota; Viridiplantae; Streptophyta; Magnoliopsida; Malvales; Malvaceae.